Molecule: ribosomal RNA, 1343 nt
Filed under: uncultured bacterium
Lineage: Bacteria
Description: 16S ribosomal RNA
Rfam family: Bacterial small subunit ribosomal RNA
Source: RNAcentral
GACGAACGCUGGCGGCGUGCUUAACACAUGCAAGUCGAACGGAAAGGCCCUGCUUUUGUGGGGUGCUCGAGUGGCGAACGGGUGAGUAACACGUGAGUAACCUGCCCUUGACUUUGGGAUAACUUCAGGAAACUGGGGCUAAUACCGGAUAGGAGCUCCUGCUGCAUGGUGGGGGUUGGAAAGUUUCGGCGGUUGGGGAUGGACUCGCGGCUUAUCAGCUUGUUGGUGGGGUAGUGGCUUACCAAGGCUUUGACGGGUAGCCGGCCUGAGAGGGUGACCGGCCACAUUGGGACUGAGAUACGGCCCAGACUCCUACGGGAGGCAGCAGUGGGGAAUAUUGCACAAUGGGCGGAAGCCUGAUGCAGCAACGCCGCGUGCGGGAUGACGGCCUUCGGGUUGUAAACCGCUUUCGCCUGUGACGAAGCGUGAGUGACGGUAAUGGGUAAAGAAGCACCGGCUAACUACGUGCCAGCAGCCGCGGUGAUACGUAGGGUGCGAGCGUUGUCCGGAUUUAUUGGGCGUAAAGGGCUCGUAGGUGGUUGAUCGCGUCGGAAGUGUAAUCUUGGGGCUUAACCCUGAGCGUGCUUUCGAUACGGGUUGACUUGAGGAAGGUAGGGGAGAAUGGAGUUCCUGGUGGAGCGGUGGAAUGCGCAGAUAUCAGGAGGAACACCAGUGGCGAAGGCGGUUCUCUGGGCCUUUCCUGACGCUGAGGAGCGAAAGCGUGGGGAGCGAACAGGCUUAGAUACCCUGGUAGUCCACGCUGUAAACGGUGGGUACUAGGUGUGGGGCCCAUUCCACGGGUUCCGUGCCGUAGCUAACGCUUUAAGUACCCCGCCUGGGGAGUACGGCCGCAAGGCUAAAACUCAAAGGAAUUGACGGGGCCCCGCACAAGCGGCGGAGCAUGCGGAUUAAUUCGAUGCAACGCGUAGAACCUUACCUGGGUUUGACAUGGAUCGGGAGUGCUCAGAGAUGGGUGUGCCUCUUUUGGGGUCGGUUCACAGGUGGUGCAUGGCUGUCGUCAGCUCGUGUCGUGAGAUGUUGGGUUAAGUCCCGCAACGAGCGCAACCCUUGUUCACUGUUGCCAGCACGUUAUGGUGGGGACUCAGUGGAGACCGCCGGGGUCAACUCGGAGGAAGGUGGGGAUGACGUCAAGUCAUCAUGCCCCUUAUGUCCAGGGCUUCACGCAUGCUACAAUGGCUGGUACAGAGAGUGGCGAGCCUGUGAGGGUGAGCGAAUCUCGGAAAGCCGGUCCCAGUUCGGAUUGGGGUCUGCAACUCGACCUCAUGAAGUCGGAGUCGCUAGUAAUCGCAGAUCAGCAACGCUGCGGUGAAUACGUUCCCGGG